Ficedula albicollis (Collared flycatcher) is the source of this 1818-nucleotide long non-coding RNA. NCBI's taxonomy places the organism in Eukaryota, Metazoa, Chordata, Aves, Passeriformes, Muscicapidae. The record is from Ensembl.
AUGUUUACAUUCUUCCCGAGGCAGAUCACGCAGCGAUUUUUAAGAAGUCCCCACGGAGGCACUAAGAGCACAGUCUCUGCUAUCGGCACAGCUCAGCACACAGGGACACGGCUACCUGGAACACGCCAGGAACGCACAGCCCCGGCACAGCAUCACGAGCACGGCACCGUCCAGCCCAGCCGCGCCGGGCAGGGCGAGGAGCCGGCGGGCACAGCCCCGGCACAGCAUCACAAGCACGGCACCUUCCAGCCCAGCCGCGCCGGGCAGGGCGAGCAGCCGGCGGGUCCCGGGGCGCUCGCCAGGAGCCCAGCGGCACCUCGGAGCUCUCCGUGCACACCUUCCCCAGGAAACUCCAAGAAAGCCGUGCAGGAGCGCCCAGCCGCGCAGGGGGAGCGGUGGGAUCGCGGCGAGAACACCACCUGCCCCGCUGCUCUCCGCCAGCGCCCCUCCCGAGCAAAAAAAACCCAACAAAACAGAAAAAGGAGAAGUUGUGCGUUUCGGGCACGGCCGCGAUGUGAAACCGGAAGGCUCGGCACGGCUCGGGGCCGCCCGCCCGGUUAUGUAAGGCACGGCGGGGGGGGGGGGGGGGGGGGGGGGGGGGGGGGGGGGGGGGGGGGGGGGGGGGGGGGGGGGGGGGGGGGGGGGGGGGGGGGGGGGGGGGGGGGGGGGGGGGGGGGGGGGGGGGGGGGGGGGGGGGGGGGGGGGGGGGGGGGGGGGGGGGGGGGGGGGAGCCCGGGGCCACCUACCGCUGCCACCUGCGCCAGGUGUCCCGCAGCGCCGCACCUUGUCCUCCGCCGGGCCCCAGGAGGAGCACGGGGCGCGGAGGAGAGGCAGAGAAACAAGCCCAAAGGCUGCCCGCCCUCUCGGGCACGGCCGCGAUGUGAAACCGGAAGGCUCGGCACGGCUCGGGGCCUCCCGCCCGGUUAUGUAAGGCACGGCCGCCCCGACGGAGCGGGAGCCCCGCGCCCCCCGCACGCACCUGCGGGGCCGAGCAGCACCCCCUGCCCUGCCCAGCACCGCUGCCCGCUCCGCAGCUCCCGUCCCGCCGGCGGGAUCCCUCCCGCAGGGAGCCCGGGGCCACCUACCGCUGCCACCUGCGCCAGGUGUCCCGCAGCGCCGCACCUUGUCCUCCGCCGGGCCCCAGGAGGAGCACGGGGCGCGGAGGAGAGGCAGAGAAACAAGCCCAAAGGCUGCCCGCCCUCCGCCGCCCCGGGAGGGGGGGGGGGGGGGGGGGGGGGGGGGGGGGGGGGGGGGGGGGGGGGGGGGGGGGGGGGGGGGGGGGGGGGGGGGGGGGGGGGGGGCAACAACAACAAACACGGCGGAGCGGAGCGGAGCGGAGCGCAGCGUGCGGGGCGGGCACAGCCCCGGACCCGCCGGCGGGGGGGGGGGGGGGGGGGGGGGGGGGGGGGGGGGCCCCGGACCCGCCGGCGGUGGGGAGGCUCCGGCUGCUCCCCUUCCCUCCGCGAACCGCCCGGAGAGAGGAAAAAAAAACCAAACAAAACCUCUAAAAAUAAUAAUAAUAAUAAAUUAGUAAAUCCCAACGCACCCGGCGUAUCCUCCUGGGCUGCGGCGCUCCGGGCGCUGCAUGCAGCGGGCGGGGGCAGCCAAGGUGAGAGAGGGCAGCGCCGGGAGCGGCGGCCAGGUGAGGGAGAGGCAGGGAUGGAGCAGGAGAGGGGGAAACCUCCGCUCCGCGCUCAGGAGCGCGCCUGGGUCCCUCCGCCCUCACACAGCCGCGCCUCCUCCGGCGGGAGAGCCGGGGGGGGGGGGGGGGGGGGGGGGGGGGGGGGGGGGGGGGGGGGGGGGGGGGGGGGGGGGGGG